This 209-nucleotide long non-coding RNA is filed under the name Capsicum annuum. RNAcentral describes it as "long non-coding RNA (CANN_LNC005881)". The record is from RNAcentral. Lineage: Eukaryota; Viridiplantae; Streptophyta; Magnoliopsida; Solanales; Solanaceae.
GUUCUUCUGUUCCUAAUAAUUAUAGGAAUAUCAUGAUAAUGCUUGUAUCUUCAAUAUCAAGCUCUCAUGCACGUAUCUUCUCUAUCAACUGAUCUUACAAGUACUAAAAUGAACUGUUUGUGAAAGUUUUAAUUUGGUAUCAAUAAUUUCACUUUUCCAGGAAAAGAAAACGUUGUAAUAAUUUGGUACCUAAUCAACAUAUGCAGAGG